RNAcentral lists this ribosomal RNA (233 nucleotides) under uncultured bacterium. Its description in RNAcentral is "partial 16S ribosomal RNA". It matches the Rfam family "Bacterial small subunit ribosomal RNA", at positions 15 to 229 of the family's 1533-position model. The record is from RNAcentral.
GAUCAUGGCUCAGGAUGAACGCUGGCGGCGUGCUUAACACAUGCAAGUCGAGCGAAGCAAUUUAAGUGAAGUUUUCGGAUGGAUCUUAAAUUGACUGAGCGGCGGACGGGUGAGUAACGCGUGGAUAACCUGCCUCACACAGGGGGAGUAACAGUUAGAAAUGACUGCUAAUACCGCAUAAGCGCACAGUACCGCAUGGUACAGUGUGAAAAACUCCGGUGGUGUGAGAUGGA